ACGCUCGACACCUACUGGAGGCAGCAGUGGGGAAUAUUGCACAAUGGGGGAAACCCUGAUGCAGCGACGCCGCGUGGAGGAAGAAGGUCUUCGGAUUGUAAACUCCUGUUGUUGGGGAAAAAGNGGAUGGUACCCAACAAGGAAGUGACGGCUAACUACGUGCCAACAGCCGCCGGUAAUCUGAGCGGGCUGGCGAAGGC
Molecule: ribosomal RNA, 200 nt
Filed under: uncultured bacterium
Lineage: Bacteria
Description: partial 16S ribosomal RNA
Rfam family: Bacterial small subunit ribosomal RNA
Source: RNAcentral